Molecule: microRNA precursor, 269 nt
Filed under: Asparagus officinalis (garden asparagus)
Lineage: Eukaryota; Viridiplantae; Streptophyta; Magnoliopsida; Asparagales; Asparagaceae
Description: miR12143 stem-loop (aof-MIR12143)
Source: miRBase by way of RNAcentral
GAGCGUCCGGUCGGGUGCAGUUGGAUCUGCGAUGCGUUUUCAGUUUUAACAAACGGAUGUAACUGGAUUUGUAUAACCAGGUCCUACUACACCCAACCAAACGCUCCCAACGUGCUGAAGAUAUCUAAGGUUGGUUCCGGUAAACGCAAACUACGAAGAGGUAAUAUCGCUAUGUUGAAAACUACAUUAUUUUCCGAAGACUUUAUUUUAUUUUCCGAGCUAUGUGCUGAGUAUAUUAGCUGAUCCACUUGGGCCCGUAUCGGAUGGAA